AAAACUUUCAACAACGGAUCUCUUGGUUCUGGCAUCGAUGAAGAACGCAGCGAAAUGCGAUAAGUAAUGUGAAUUGCAGAAUUCAGUGAAUCAUCGAAUCUUUGAACGCACAUUGCGCCCCUCGGUAUUCCGGGGGGCAUGCCUGUUCGAGCGUCACU
This 158-nucleotide ribosomal RNA is filed under the name Glaucomaria rupicola. Its description in RNAcentral is "5.8S ribosomal RNA". It matches the Rfam family "5.8S ribosomal RNA". Rfam says of the family: 5.8S ribosomal RNA (5.8S rRNA) is a component of the large subunit of the eukaryotic ribosome. It is transcribed by RNA polymerase I as part of the 45S precursor that also contains 18S and 28S rRNA. Lineage: Eukaryota; Fungi; Ascomycota; Lecanoromycetes; Lecanorales; Lecanoraceae. The record is from RNAcentral.